GAUGAACGCUGGCGGCGUGCUUAACACAUGCAAGUCGAACGGAAAGGCUCCUGCUUGCAGGGGUACUCGAGUGGCGAACGGGUGAGUAACACGUGGGUGAUCUGCCCUGCACUUCGGGAUAAGCCUGGGAAACUGGGUCUAAUACCGGAUAGGACCACAUUUUGGAUGGUGUGGUGGAAAGUUUUUCGGUGUGGGAUGAGCUCGCGGCCUAUCAGCUUGUUGGUGGGGUAAUGGCCUACCAAGGCGUCGACGGGUAGCCGGCCUGAGAGGGUGUACGGCCACAUUGGGACUGAGAUACGGCCCAGACUCCGACGGGAGGCAGCAGUGGGGAAUAUUGCACAAUGGGCGCAAGCCUGAUGCAGCGACGCCGCGUGGGGGAUGACGGCCUUCGGGUUGUAAACUCCUUUCGCUAGGGACGAAGCGUUUUUGUGACGGUACCUGGAGAAGAAGCACCGGCUAACUACGUG
RNAcentral lists this ribosomal RNA (467 nucleotides) under uncultured bacterium. Its description in RNAcentral is "partial 16S ribosomal RNA". It matches the Rfam family "Bacterial small subunit ribosomal RNA", at positions 28 to 507 of the family's 1533-position model. The record is from RNAcentral.